This 432-nucleotide ribosomal RNA is filed under the name uncultured bacterium. RNAcentral's name for it is "partial 16S ribosomal RNA". It matches the Rfam family "Bacterial small subunit ribosomal RNA", at positions 29 to 506 of the family's 1533-position model. The record is from RNAcentral.
AACGAACGCUGGCGGCAUGCCUAACACAUGCAAGUCGAACGAGACCUUCGGGUCUAGUGGCGCACGGGUGCGUAACGCGUGGGAACCUGCCCUUAGGUUCGGAAUAACUCCCCGAAAGGGGUGCUAAUACCGGAUAAUGUCUUCGGACCAAAGAUUUAUCGCCUUUGGAUGGGCCCGCGUUGGAUUAGCUAGUUGGUAGGGUAAAAGCCUACCAAGGCGACGAUCCAUAGCUGGUCUGAGAGGAUGAUCAGCCACACUGGGACUGAGACACGGCCCAGACUCCUACGGGAGGCAGAAGGGGGGAAUAUUGGACAAUGGGCGAAAGCCUGAUCCAGCAAUGCCGCGUGAGUGAUGAAGGCCUUAGGGUUGUAAAGCUCUUUUACCCGGGAUGAUAAUGACAGUACCGGGAGAAUAAGCUCCGGCUAACUCCGU